CUGAUGCGCGUUUCCACUCACUGGCUGAAGACCGCCAUAAAAUCAGUGCACUGCGCUCUUUUCUUUCUUCAUUUGGUCACUUGUGAAUUGUGAUUCUGUGAAGGCCAGCAUCGUUGGCUGAAGAAGACGCAAAAAGUAGAAGCAAAAUUCUGACUCUUCUUGGGACUCGCAAGAACAAGAAUUGACACCAACUCCGGAUUAAAGGACGGUAUGAAUCUGUUUCUAGAAAUCUUGCGAUGCAUCCUUUGUUGCCAAGAAGAACGUGAUGAUGAUAAUGAAAAUUCUGGUGCAAACUACAGAAAUUGGCGAUACGAAUAUAUUCCAGUGAAUACAAACCCAUCAAAUUCUCCAAGAGCACGGGUGACUCUGAGUACUCCAUUUUAUCAACCAAAUGUUGGCGAUUCACCUACAUUCACUUAUAGACCAUCUCAAUCUUCAUAUAAACCACCCCAAUCUUCUUCUAGUCCGUCUCCUUCAACCUAUAUUUCUUCAACAUCUUCAUCUAAACUGUCUCCAUCUUUCCCCAAUGCUUUGUUACCUUCCUCCAAACCACCUCAGUCUAUAUCAAAACUGUCUCCAUCUUCAUCUAAUCUGCCUCCCUCUUCUUUUAGUCCAUCUUCUAAGUCAUCUGUAUCUUCCCCCAACAAACCAAAACCCCCACCAGGUUCUUCUCCAACUUACUCUAAACCACCUCAAUCUUCA
Non-coding RNA from Corylus avellana, 702 nucleotides. The record is from RefSeq and is a predicted model, not a curated record. Lineage: Eukaryota; Viridiplantae; Streptophyta; Magnoliopsida; Fagales; Betulaceae.